ACAAAUCUAAACAUAUUGUUGCUUGGCGCUUGCGCCGGGUAUACAACAUAUCAACCUGUGAAUAGACAGCGCAAGCUGUUAUCAAGUGAAAACUUGAUACAACAACAUACAUAAACGUCUAAAGAAUGUCUUAACAAAACAAAAAAAGUA
RNAcentral lists this unclassified non-coding RNA (150 nucleotides) under soil metagenome. RNAcentral describes it as "partial internal transcribed spacer 1". The record is from RNAcentral.